This 76-nucleotide transfer RNA is filed under the name bacterium. RNAcentral describes it as "tRNA-Gln". It matches the Rfam family "tRNA". Rfam says of the family: Transfer RNA (tRNA) molecules are approximately 80 nucleotides in length. Their secondary structure includes four short double-helical elements and three loops (D, anti-codon, and T loops). The record is from RNAcentral.
UGGGGAGUAGUUGAGUUGGUAAAACGCCUGACUCUGGAUCAGGAGGCCGAAGGUUCGAAUCCUUCCUCCCCAGCCA